Molecule: ribosomal RNA, 424 nt
Filed under: uncultured bacterium
Lineage: Bacteria
Description: bacterial SSU rRNA
Rfam family: Bacterial small subunit ribosomal RNA
Source: RNAcentral
GGGGAAUCUUGCGCAAUGGGCGAAAGCCUGACGCAGCGACGCCGCGUGAGUGAUGAAGGCCUUCGGGUUGUAAAGCUCUGUGGGGAGAGACGAAUAAGUGCAGCCUAAUACGCUGCAUGAUGACGGUAUCUCCUUAGCAAGCACCGGCUAACUCUGUGCCAGCAGCCGCGGUAAGACAGAGGGUGCAAACGUUGUUCGGAAUUACUGGGCGUAAAGCGAGUGUAGGCGGUUUCCUAAGUCAGGUGUGAAAGCCCCGGGCUCAACCCGGGAAGUGCACUUGAAACUGGGAGGCUAGAGUAUCGGAGAGGUUGGUGGAAUUCUCGGUGUAGAGGUGAAAUUCGUAGAUAUCGAGAGGAACACCGGUGGCGAAGGCGGCCAACUGGACGAAUACUGACGCUGAGACUCGAAAGCGUGGGGAGCAAAC